This 1186-nucleotide ribosomal RNA is filed under the name Bacillus sp. (in: firmicutes). RNAcentral's name for it is "bacterial SSU rRNA". It matches the Rfam family "Bacterial small subunit ribosomal RNA", at positions 115 to 1296 of the family's 1533-position model. Lineage: Bacteria; Bacillati; Bacillota; Bacilli; Caryophanales; Bacillaceae. The record is from RNAcentral.
ACGUGGGCAACCUGCCUGUAAGACUGGGAUCUCAAACUAGGAACCAUGUCUUGCUUGCGAAUAACCCGUUCCACCUAUGGUGGAGCGGUAAAAGAUGGCCUCUGGCUAUCACUUACAGAUGGGCCCGCGGCGCAUUAGCUAGUUGGUAAGGUAACGGCUUACCAAGGCGACGAUGCGUAGCCGACCUGAGAGGGUGAUCGGCCACACUGGGACUGAGACACGGCCCAGAUCUACGGGAGGCAGCAGUGGGAAUCUUCCGCAAUGGACGAAAGUCUGACGGAGCAACGCCGCGUGAGUGAUGAAGGUUUUCGGAUCGUAAAGCUCUGUUGUUAGGGAAGAACAAGUGCCGUUUGAAUAAGGCGGCACCUUGACGGUACCUAACCAGAAAGCACGGCUAACUACGUGCCAGCAGCCGCGGUAAUACGUAGGUGGCAAGCGUUGUCCGGAAUUAUUGGGCGUAAAGCGCGCGCAGGCGGUCUCUUAGUCUGAUGUGAAAGCCCACGGCUCAACCGUGGAGGGUCAUUGGAAACUGGGAGACUUGAGUACAGAAGAGGAGAGUGGAAUUCCACGUGUAGCGGUGAAAUGCGUAGAUAUGUGGAGGAACACCAGUGGCGAAGGCGACUCUCUGGUCUGUAACUGACGCUGAGGCGCGAAAGCGUGGGGAGCAAACAGGAUUAGAUACCCUGGUAGUCCACGCCGUAAACGAUGAGUGCUAGGUGUUAGGGUUCGAUGCCCUUAGUGCCGAAGUUACACAUUAAGCACUCCGCCUGGGGAGUACGACCGCAAGGUUGAAACUCAAAGGAAUUGACGGGGGCCCGCACAAGCAGUGGAGCAUGUGGUUUAAUUCGAAGCAACGCGAAGAACCUUACCAGGUCUUGACAUCCUUUGACCACUCUAGAGAUAGAGCUUUCCCCUUCGGGGGACAAAGUGACAGGUGUGCAUGGUUGUCGCAGCUGUGUCGUGAGAUGUUGGGUUAAGUCCCGCAACGAGCGCAACCCUUGAUCUUAGUUGCCAGCAUUCAGUUGGGCACUCUAAGGUGACUGCCGGUGACAAACCGGAGGAAGGUGGGGAUGACGUCAAACAUCAUGCCCCUUAUGACCUGGGCUAACACGUGCUACAAUGGAUGGUACAAAGGGCUGCAAAACCGCGAGGUUGAGCGAAUCCCAUAAAGCCAUUCUCAGUUCGG